This 497-nucleotide ribosomal RNA is filed under the name uncultured bacterium. Its description in RNAcentral is "partial 16S ribosomal RNA". It matches the Rfam family "Bacterial small subunit ribosomal RNA", at positions 28 to 507 of the family's 1533-position model. The record is from RNAcentral.
GAUGAACGCUGGCGGCGUGCCUAAUACAUGCAAGUCGAGCGAACAGACGAGGAGCUUGCUCCUCUGACGUUAGCGGCGGACGGGUGAGUAACACGUGGAUAACCUACCUAUAAGACUGGGAUAACUUCGGGAAACCGGAGCUAAUACCGGAUAAUAUAUUGAACCGCAUGGUUCAAUAGUGAAAGACGGUUUUGCUGUCACUUAUAGAUGGAUCCGCGCUGCAUUAGCUAGUUGGUAAGGUAACGGCUUACCAAGGCGACGAUGCGUAGCCGACCUGAGAGGGUGAUCGGCCACACUGGAACUGAGACACGGUCCAGACUCCUACGGGAGGCAGCAGUAGGGAAUCUUCCGCAAUGGGCGAAAGCCUGACGGAGCAACGCCGCGUGAGUGAUGAAGGUCUUCGGAUCGUAAAACUCUGUUAUUAGGGAAGAACAAAUGUGUAAGUAACUGUGCACGUCUUGACGGUACCUAAUCAGAAAGCCACGGCUAACUACGUG